CACAAGACACCCCCAGAGAUGUGCUUACACAUCUACACUACUUCCAUGUUAAGGAAGCACUACUCCAAGCAACAAGAGCAGGCGGAGAGCUCCCACAGAAGUACAAGAACAUUAAAAUGUUCACAGACCUUUCCGCAGCCACAUUGCAAAAACGAAAGGAAUUCAGGGAAACAACAGAAGCCCUCCGCCACAACAAUAUACAGUACAGAUGGGGAUUUCCAAUCCGCCUCCUAAU
Pelobates cultripes (western spadefoot toad) is the source of this 235-nucleotide non-coding RNA. Lineage: Eukaryota; Metazoa; Chordata; Amphibia; Anura; Pelobatidae. The record is from the annotation of a GenBank genome assembly.